This 468-nucleotide ribosomal RNA is filed under the name uncultured bacterium. RNAcentral's name for it is "partial 16S ribosomal RNA". It matches the Rfam family "Bacterial small subunit ribosomal RNA", at positions 331 to 794 of the family's 1533-position model. The record is from RNAcentral.
CCAGACUCCUACGGGAGGCAGCAGUGAGGAAUAUUGGUCAAUGGACGCAAGUCUGAACCAGCCAAGUAGCGUGCAGGAUGACGGCCCUCCGGGUUGUAAACUGCUUUUAGUUGGGAAUAAAAGGGGGCUCGUGAGCCCCGUAUUGUAUGUACCAUCAGAAAAAGGACCGGCUAAUUCCGUGCCAGCAGCCGCGGUAAUACGUAUGGUGCAAGCGUUAUCCGGAUUUACUGGGUGUAAAGGGAGCGCAGGCGGCACGGCAAGCCUGAUGUGAAAGCCCGCGGCCCAACCGCGGGACUGCAUUGGGAACUACCGGGCUGGAGUGCCGGAGAGGUAGGCGGAAUUCCUAGUGUAGCGGUGAAAUGCGUAGAUAUUAGGAGGAACACCAGUGGCGAAGGCGGCCUACUGGACGGUGACUGACGCUGAGGCUCGAAAGCGUGGGGAGCAAACAGGAUUAGAUACCCGAGUAGU